This 496-nucleotide ribosomal RNA is filed under the name uncultured bacterium. RNAcentral describes it as "partial 16S ribosomal RNA". It matches the Rfam family "Bacterial small subunit ribosomal RNA", at positions 28 to 506 of the family's 1533-position model. The record is from RNAcentral.
GAUGAACGCUGGCGGCGUGCCUAAUAGAUGCAAGUCGAGCGAACAGAUGAGGAGCUUGCUCCUCUGACGUUAGCGGCGGACGGGUGAGUAACACGUGGAUAACCUACCUAUAAGACUGGGAUAACUUCGGGAAACCGGAGCUAAUACCGGAUAAUAUAUUGAACCGCAUGGUUCAAUAGUGAAAGACGGUUUUGCUGUCACUUAUAGAUGGAUCCGCGCCGCAUUAGCUAGUUGGUAAGGUAACGGCUUACCAAGGCAACGAUGCGUAGCCGACCUGAGAGGGGGAUCGGCCACACGGGAACUGAGACACGGUCCAGACUCCGACGGGAGGCAGCAGUAGGGAAUCUGCCGCAAGGGGCGAAAGCCUGACGGAGCAACGCCGCGUGAGUGAUGAAGGUCUUCGGAUCGUAAAACGCUGUUAUUAGGGAAGAACAAAUGUGUAAGUAACUAUGCACGUCUUGACGGUACCUAAUCAGAAAGCCACGGCUAACUACGU